Zophobas morio is the source of this 232-nucleotide long non-coding RNA. RefSeq lists it as uncharacterized. The record is from RefSeq and is a predicted model, not a curated record. NCBI's taxonomy places the organism in Eukaryota, Metazoa, Arthropoda, Insecta, Coleoptera, Tenebrionidae. The transcript is spliced from 3 exons.
AGGCUAAUUAUUUUAAAUAAUGGCGGAUUCUAGCUUCUUUUUAACAAAGCGCCCGCUGCUUGAUUUGACUCAGUUGUGUUCUAGCCCCAUCCUUAUUUUAUGAUCUCUGUUGUGUCUUACCUCCAUGCUCUCUUUAAGCUCUUAAUGAGUUUGAAUGUGAGCAUUUACUUUAGAAAAAUCUUAUGACCUCUUGGAGUUGCAACUUUGAACGCCAAAGCAUCUUCAUAUAAAC